Molecule: ribosomal RNA, 506 nt
Filed under: uncultured bacterium
Lineage: Bacteria
Description: partial 16S ribosomal RNA
Rfam family: Bacterial small subunit ribosomal RNA
Source: RNAcentral
AGUGAACGCUGGCGGUAGGCCUAACACAUGCAAGUCGAACGGCAGCACAGGAGAGCUUGCUCUCUGGGUGGCGAGUGGCGGACGGGUGAGGAAUACAUCGGAAUCUACUCUGUCGUGGGGGAUAACGUAGGGAAACUUACGCUAAUACCGCAUACGACCUACGGGUGAAAGCAGGGGACCUUCGGGCCUUGCGCGAUUGAAUGAGCCGAUGUCGGAUUAGCUAGUUGGGGGGGUAAAGGCCCACCAAGGCGACGAUCCGUAGCUGGUCUGAGAGGAUGAUCAGCCACACUGGAACUGAGACACGGUCCAGACUCCUACGGGAGGCAGCAGUGGGGAAUAUUGGACAAUGGGCGCAAGCCUGAUCCAGCCAUACCGCGUGGGUGAAGAAGGCCUUCGGGUUGUAAAGCUCUUUUGUUGGGAAAGAAAUCCAGCUGGCUAAUACCCGGUUGGGAUGACGGUACCCAAGGAAUAAGCACCGGCUAACUUCGUGCCAGCCGCCGCGGUAA